This 301-nucleotide ribosomal RNA is filed under the name uncultured bacterium. RNAcentral's name for it is "partial 16S ribosomal RNA". It matches the Rfam family "Bacterial small subunit ribosomal RNA", at positions 509 to 807 of the family's 1533-position model. The record is from RNAcentral.
CAGUAGCCGCGGUAAAACGGAGGGUGCAAGCGUUAAUCGGAAUUACUGGGCGUAAAGCGCACGCAGGCGGUCUGUCAAGUCGGAUGUGAAAUCCCCGGGCUCAACCUGGGAACUGCAUUCGAAACUGGCAGGCUAGAGUCUUGUAGAGGGGGGUAGAAUUCCAGGUGUAGCGGUGAAAUGCGUAGAGAUCUGGAGGAAUACCGGUGGCGAAGGCGGCCCCCUGGACAAAGACUGACGCUCAGGUGCGAAAGCGUGGGGAGCAAACAGGAUUAGAUACCCCUGUAGUCCCUGUCUCUUAUAC